AGUCUCAGGAAGACGGGGAGAACUCGGUGCAGCGGAGCGGCCGCCGGCCGCAGUACCUCACUGCAUCUUCACAACUCUACGCCCCGGGCUCUUUCCCGUCCCCACUCUGCAGCUUUUCUCAGGGCUGUUGGGCUUCCACGGCCCUGAAGGCUGCUUCCCAAAGAGCACACUCGUGAGCUCGGUGGAAGAACGCAGCUGACAAGACUCUGCACGGCUAACAGCCGUUGGCUGGCUCAGUCGGGCGAGGGCAGGUAGGGGCGAGGGUCCCCAGGGAACGGCAGAGCAGGCACCCGGUGGUAGUGCGCCAUGAGGAAGAUGCCGGCGGUGCCGCAGACGAAGAGCGAGAGCAUGGCCAGGAAGCAGACGCGGUCCAGCACGCGGCCCACCAGGAGCCACUCCUCGUUCCCCUGAGGGCGGGGGCAGGGUGUGGGACAGCCAGCAGGGACACAGAGCCCGCCCCGAGUCCCAGAACCCCCCUCAGCCUUCCAGCCAGCCUCUGUUCUCCACUUCCUCAGGCCUUUCUCACCUACUUCCAGCCCUCGACCUGGCUUCUUCCAGGGUCUCCUGGCCCCGAUGUCCCCCGUGUUCCCCAAUCCCAAGUCAACUUUUUCCCCUCCCGUGGCCCUUCCAGAGUCACCCCUUCCAUCCUGCCCCCACACGCCAGGGCCCAGCCCCUCACUGGGUGCUCACGGCUGCCCCGCCCCACCCCCGGGAGGGCUUACACUGGCAAAGUGCCUCUGCUGGCGUCGGGCCCGGGCGACGAAGUUGCAGGCGUCCACACAGGCCCGGAUGGCCGGGGCGGCUUGCUUCAGGCUGCCGCACAGGUCCUGGCCCUGCCCUGGCUCCUGGCCUUUCUCUGAGGAGAUGAGAGGGUCAGGACGGUGAGGAGAAUGGAGGAGCAACGGG
Molecule: long non-coding RNA, 906 nt
Organism: Phyllostomus discolor (pale spear-nosed bat)
Lineage: Eukaryota; Metazoa; Chordata; Mammalia; Chiroptera; Phyllostomidae
Exons: 4
Source: RefSeq, a predicted model, not a curated record